AAAACUCAAAGGAAUUGACGGGGACCCGCACAAGCGGUGGAUGAUGUGGAUUAAUUCGAUGCAACGCGAAAAACCUUACCUACCCUUGACAUGUCAGGAAUCCUGAAGAGAUUUGGGAGUGCUCGCAAGAGAGCCUGAACACAGGUGCUGCAUGGCUGUCGUCAGCUCGUGUCGUGAGAUGUUGGGUUAAGUCCCGCAACGAGCGCAACCCUUGUCAUUAAUUGCCAUCAUUCAGUUGGGCACUUUAAUGAGACUGCCGGUGACAAACCGGAGGAAGGUGGGGAUGACGUCAAGUCCUCAUGGCCCUUAUGGGUAGGGCUUCACACGUCAUACAAUGGUCGGUCCAGAGGGUUGCCAACCCGCGAGGGGGAGCCAAUCUCAGAAAGCCGAUCGUAGUCCGGAUCGCAGUCUGCAACUCGACUGCGUGAAGUCGGAAUCGCUAGUAAUCGCGGAUCAGCAUGUCGCGGUGAAUACGUU
RNAcentral lists this ribosomal RNA (477 nucleotides) under uncultured bacterium. Its description in RNAcentral is "bacterial SSU rRNA". It matches the Rfam family "Bacterial small subunit ribosomal RNA", at positions 896 to 1372 of the family's 1533-position model. The record is from RNAcentral.